This 440-nucleotide ribosomal RNA is filed under the name uncultured bacterium. RNAcentral describes it as "partial 16S ribosomal RNA". It matches the Rfam family "Bacterial small subunit ribosomal RNA", at positions 338 to 795 of the family's 1533-position model. The record is from RNAcentral.
CCUACGGGAGGCAGCAGUGGGGAAUAUUGCACAAUGGGGGAUACCCUGAACCAGCGACGCCGCGUGAGUGAAGAAGUAUUUCGGUAUGUAAAGCUUUAUUAGCAGGGAAGAAAAUGACGGUACCUGAUUUACAAGCCCCGGCUAACUACGUGCCAGCAGCCGCGGGAAGAAGUAGGGGGCAAGCGUUAUCCGGACUAACUGGGGGUAAAGGGAGCGUAUACGGUUAUGCAAGUCAGGAGUGAAAGCCGGGGGGUCAAAUCCGGGAGUGCAUUUGAAACUGUGUGACUGGAGUGCAGGAGAGGUAAGCGGAAUGCGUGGUGUAGCGGGGAAAUGCGUAGAUAUCAGGAGGAACACCAGUGGCGAAGGCAGCGUACUGGACUGUAACUGACGUUGAGGCUCGAAAGCGUGGGGAUCAAACAGGAUUAGAUACCCGGGUAGUC